GCGGCUGUAGCGCGGUGGUCCCACCUGACCCCAUGCCGAACUCAGAAGUGAAACGCCGUAGCGCCGAUGGUAGUGUGGGGCCUCCCCAUGCGAGAGUAGGGAACUGCCAGAC
RNAcentral lists this ribosomal RNA (112 nucleotides) under Citrobacter sp. Cf145. The record is from RNAcentral. Lineage: Bacteria; Pseudomonadati; Pseudomonadota; Gammaproteobacteria; Enterobacterales; Enterobacteriaceae.